This is a non-coding RNA of Mycena vulgaris, 91 nucleotides long. The record is from the annotation of a GenBank genome assembly. NCBI's taxonomy places the organism in Eukaryota, Fungi, Basidiomycota, Agaricomycetes, Agaricales, Mycenaceae.
GCGGACGUAGUGCACGGCGCACCACUGCCUUCUAUAGUUUUUCGAGACGUGAAUGCAAGCAGUGAACGGGGUUCGACUCCCCGCGUCCGCC